ACCACAGAGGACAGGUCUCCUCCAGCUGUGCCCCCACUCCCCUAAAAGCCUUGUAUUCCCCUCUGCAGGUUCCCUCUGGCCCCACCAGGAGAAGAAGAUGGCCUAUGAAAAAUCAACUGAUAUCUUUGAUGUCUCCAGGUCAAUGUUCCUGUACCCAUGGCUGGAAUAUCCAGACAGGACCAAAGAACUCAGAAAAGCCAUGGCUCCUGUUCAUCUGCCCUUGUCCUGCUACCAGAUGCCAAAGGAAGAGUUUCCCCCAAGUCCAGAGUGCUGGAGGCAGCAUCCGAGCAAGCCAAACUCAGUCCCGUACUGCUACUUCAAGAAACCUGAGAUCUACACGCACUGGCACAACCUGUAUGAUCAGCGAGAGGAAAGGGAGGCUGAAAAGAUGUUGAGGAAAAUGAGAGAUGACUGUAGGUACAUCAAAGAGGUACAUCAAACCCACAUCAAAAUGUUCCAUCUCCCGAUGAGCAAGCUGACUAUAAAAUCUGAGAUGCGAUCCAGGCCCUUAGAGCCUACCCAGGACCCCCUGAAGUGGCAAAGAUUAAGGGAACUCACAAAAAGCCUGGAAUCUCCCAGAGAGGAUGAGCAGUUCUAUGCAGCACAGGCUCUGGGAUGCUUACGCAUCAGUGACAAGUUUGUCAUGGAGGCACUACAGCAGGUGGUGAGUCUGAGAACUGCUGGAGUUCAGGAAAGAAGGAAACAGGGUCUGAGAUGUGUGGCAUGUGGGCACAGACGAGGCUCCCCGGGGUGCUAGGAUGGCGGGUCAGAUCCAGUAAGGACACAGCCACCACUGUGCAGCAUGACCCAUCCCAUGUCCUUGGCCUCUUCGAAGAGCAGCUGGAUCUAAAAGAUAGGGAAGGAAGAAUCUGAAGAUCUCCCUGGUCUAACCGAAAAGACAUUGGACUGAAAAGCCAGGAAAGUCUGAAAGCCAGAACAGAGUACAUUCUCUGCCUUUACUGGAAACACCGCAUAUGUAUACAUCAGCUUACCACUGGGAACAUGCAUUCUUUAUAUCCAUAAUCUCAUUUAACUCUUACAACAACACCAGGAAUUAGUAUCUGUAUUUCUCUAAAUGAGAAAAUGAAAGCUCUGAGAGACCAAGGGACUUGCCCAAGGCCAAGUGGCUACAAGAUACCAGAUAGAGAUUUGAACAAACAUCUAACUCCCAACUGUAUUGUUCCUUCCAUUGAACCAUUUUGGCUGUAUUCUGUAUUUGAGAAUAGAUAGGUCACUUUCUAGGCUUCAGUUUCCUCUUUUGUAAAAUGAGAAGUUAAGCUGAGACAAUCCCUAAAGCUCUGACAUUCCAUCACCUUAUUAUAUGUUGCUACCACCCGCCUCUUAAAUUAGGCCCAAACUGGUCCAGAGAAAGUGAAGUACGAGGCCUACCGAACCCUGGCCAUCCUGGGUUGCCUGAAUAAGCAUGUGAUCCGGGCUCUCAUCAAACAGCUGAAGGAGAAAAAUGAGGGUCAAAGGAUGGAGACUUUGACGGGGCUACGAAUGGCUCUUAACUCCUGGGCUGCUGUCUCUAAAGACAAGAGGACUCAAGUCGGGGAUGAGGGCAAGCUGGUGCCUGUACUACAGACACUGAUCAAGAAGUCGUCCAGUGAAGCAUCUCUGGAGGCAGCCCUGUGCCUGGGUUUCCUGAGGCCUUGCAGCAACAUGGUCCAAGAGUUCUUGUUGCAGUGCCUGUGCCAAGGACUCAAGACCCAGCGGAUGAAGGCACUUAGGAUGCUGGUCAAGGUGAUGCACGUGCACUCAGCCCCAGUCAUCAGGGCCAUCCUAGACCAGCUGUGUUCUUCCAGUGUCCUUGAGGACCGCUUUGAAGCCACCCAAAUGCUCAAGACCAUUGGGCUGGAACAGAUCCAGGCACAGGGGCUAGAGGAACUCACAUUUAACCUGCUCAGGAGGAAGACGCAUAAUGAACCCUUCCUUGCUGUGAGGCAGGCUGUGGCUCAAACUGUGGAAGAGCUCAAGUUGAAGCCUACGAUGAUGAACUUGGUGGAGGCACAACUGAUGAACCCAGAUGCCACUGCACGCCAGGAAGCAGUCAUCUCUUUGGGUGUCCUGGGGAUCCGCAGUCCACAAGUGUUCCACUUGCUCCUGGACUUACUAGAUGCAGAAAACCACCAGGCUGUGAAGAAGAGUCUACAAGAAACAUUAAUCCUUUGUGCCUCAACUGAUCCCUGGAUCCAAAACAAGCUGAAAAACAAGGUUCUCUUUGUAUAUGAGGCACCUAAGACCAAUGUGAAGGCAGAGCCCACAAGGUUCCAGAAAGAGCCUGAGAACCCAGAAGAGUUAACUAUUCAAGACUUUCGACUUGCAAAGCUGAACCCCUUGUUCAUUGCAAAGUCCAUCACCAAAGUAGGCCAAAAGAAAAUGCCUGCUUUCCCACCGUGCUGCUCGAAACCACAAAAACAUAGGCCACAGGCCAUAGGGCCCUGGCAGCCAAGGAUCAAGAAACAGCUCCGGGUCCUUGCUGAAAUUGCCAAGUAAGUCAGUUCUUUGGGCCUACUCCCCGACUCCCUCCCUGAAGAUGCUUCUCAGGCUCCCCUGAGAAAACAAUCUAUACUUAUCUUCCGUGAAUAAACAAGUGUCACUCUACCUACCACA
Molecule: small RNA, 2613 nt
Filed under: Pan troglodytes (chimpanzee)
Lineage: Eukaryota; Metazoa; Chordata; Mammalia; Primates; Hominidae
Description: retained intron
Source: RNAcentral